This 720-nucleotide long non-coding RNA is filed under the name Hordeum vulgare. RNAcentral's name for it is "long non-coding RNA (HVUL_LNC015131)". Lineage: Eukaryota; Viridiplantae; Streptophyta; Magnoliopsida; Poales; Poaceae. The record is from RNAcentral.
GGCGGCGGGGGGUAAGAAGGCGAGGUGCGCCCGGUCCAGCCCGGCCUCGCCGCUCGACUACAGCGCCGGCUCCGCCUCCCUCCGCUCCGGCGCCUCCACCAGCGGCGGCGAGGACGGCGCCUUCUGCUCCCCCUGGCACCGCCGCGCGGCCACCGCGCCGGCGACGACGAUGACGAAGGUUCGUGCCUGCGUCCAUAUCCAUCCAUCCACCCCCCACGUCCCUGCCGCCGCCCUCCGCUUUGCUUUGGGUUCUUCUCCCUCCCCCACCACCAGCGUCUCUCUCUCUCUCUCUCUCUCUCUCUCUCUCUCUCCCCUAUCUCUGCGCUUUCCUUUCUUUCGUUUCUUUUUGCCCUUUUCGAUUUUUCUCCCCUGCCCCGUGACGAAACUGCCCCUACUGGUCAGCAGCAGCAAAGAUCCCUUCUUCCAUUCGCCAUGAUUUGAACACCGCCUUUGUCUACCUUCUCCAUCUCAUCUUCUCGUCAUCUCAUACCAUUUCAUCUCAAUCCCAUCUCGCUUGGCGCAGCAGCCGUGUCCUGCUCCGGGGAUCCGCAUUGGUUCGCGCCCUCCCGAAUUCCCACUUCAGUUACUCUACAAAACUACUGCCGGUUCCAGGGAAAAAAGCUGCCAUGAAAAAGCGAGCUGAAUUUCAGCAUCUUUUCCCAUAAGUGCGUGCGGAUUUGCUUAUGCAGAGCUGCUGGAGUGAUGCACGCAGUAGUUGAC